ACCUGCUGCAGGACCACCUGCUGCAGGACCACCUGCUGGAAACCAGCCUGUGUCACCAGCAGCUGCAGCUCCCCCCUGCUGCCAGCCCAGCUGCGGUGGCCAAACCAGCUGUGGUUCCAGCUGCUGCCAGCCCUGCUGCCCCCCAACCUGCUGUCAAACCAGCUGCUGCAGCACCUGCUUCAAGCCCACCUGUGUGACCAGCUGCUACAGCACCCCUAUCUGCCAGCCUAGGUGCUGUGUGUCCAGCUGCUGCCAGCCCAGCUGCUGUGAGUCCAGUUCCUGUGGCCAAACCAGCUGUGGCUCCAGCUGCUGCCAGCCCAGCUGCUGCCAGCCCACCUGCUGCCAGCCAGCCUGCUCUGGACCCGUGAUCUGCACCAGAACCUGCUACCACCCCACGUGCGUCUGCCUGACUGGGAGCCUCCCCGAGAGCUUCGGAUCCAGCUGCUGCCAGCCCUGCAGCUGCUGAUCAACUCCCCAAAGACCACCAUCCGCCCCACCAAAUCCGAGGAACCACCAUGCCAUUUCCGCACAAAUGCACUCCCUGCCUUUCUGACAUCACCAAGCUAGCACCAGGACAUCCGUUCCUCAUGCAGUGUUGUAAGAACCAGUGGAUGACUACAAGGGAAGGCAGAGUCCUCCACCCUCAGCCUCUGAGCCCUUAGGUGCUGUCAGUCUUCUGCCAGCUUCACAGAUCUUGGCGUGCAACUCCAGCCUUGACUUGAGCUCUGAAGCCAAGAUGGUCAUCUCAUCCCCUGAACAACAUAGGAAAACUCUUCUUCAUGAAAAGUCAUAAGCUUAGGCAACUGAUCAAGCAUGGCUAUAAUCACGUCUUCUUUGGCACUGUACUCUGCAUGCUUGCAUGCUCUGCUUUCUCCUUUCCGCAUCGCUUGAGUUGUCUCCCUAGAUUAUGUAGGCUUCAUACAUUCUCAAUAAAUGCAGCUCUGUUAUUCAGCACACGUUGUCUGUCUCCGUUUCAUUGUGCUAAGAACACUUGGCAUAAGAUGUACGGCCCUGCAGAUUUCUAAGUGUACAAGAGGGCACCGUGCUGAAGACCAGAUCUCAAGAAGUUAUUCACCCUGC
This 1080-nucleotide long non-coding RNA is filed under the name Heterocephalus glaber (naked mole-rat). Its description in RNAcentral is "lncRNA (ENSHGLG00100045732.1)". Lineage: Eukaryota; Metazoa; Chordata; Mammalia; Rodentia; Bathyergidae. The record is from RNAcentral.